Molecule: transfer RNA, 74 nt
Filed under: Rhamnusium bicolor
Lineage: Eukaryota; Metazoa; Arthropoda; Insecta; Coleoptera; Cerambycidae
Description: tRNA-OTHER
Source: RNAcentral
GACUCCGUGGCUUAGAGGUAACGUACUUGCCUCGAAACCUCGGGGUCCUGGGUUCGAUUCCCAGUCGAGGAACU